Long non-coding RNA from Ziziphus jujuba (common jujube), 712 nucleotides. RefSeq lists it as uncharacterized. NCBI's taxonomy places the organism in Eukaryota, Viridiplantae, Streptophyta, Magnoliopsida, Rosales, Rhamnaceae. The record is from RefSeq and is a predicted model, not a curated record. The transcript is spliced from 2 exons.
UGUACCCUACAACCACCUAUUGACUGCCAACCAAAUUUUUUGUAUGACCACAAAUUUAUCCAGAGAAGCAAUAACAGAAAAUACACAUCACGUUUUUGUUGUCUGCCAAAUUUUGGGCUUCUGUUUUUUCAUUUUUUAUUUUUUAAUUUCUUUCUUUUAAGUCCCUCUAACUUCUUUGGUUUAGCAUAGCCCAUAACCCCAUCAAUUUCUCUCUUCCACUACUAGCUCGCUGUCUCUCUAUACAAAAAAGAAAGUAUCAGGGAGAUUCAAGAAUUGCAGGCUUCGGUUACUAAGCAAAAGUUGAGCAGCUUGGUGUAUAAUUUGAAGAUUCAUGAAAAUCCUGAACCAAAUGGAUCGUCUACCUGCUUUUACUUUCAGUUCUUUUAGAGACAAAGAUAAGCAUAAUUGAGAAAAAGGUCAUGAGCCCAGCUUAGUAUACUUGAUCACAGUUUGUUUUUGAAGAAGAAACUUUAAGAGAAAUGGAUAUGGAACCCAGCUUAUCCAUCUUCAUGUUUUGGUUUCCACUACUGGUUUUCCAUCAACGAAUUAUAUAUAUAUAUAUAUAUAUAUUUUUUUUUUUUCUGCUGUAAUAUGUAAUUCUCUGUAUUUCCUUCAUGUAUGUAUACCCUUUUUUUUUCCGCCUUUUUUGUUUUGGUAAUAUCAAGUUAUGUAUAUGUUAUAUAUAUACUAGUAUGACACUUUAUUUUCUUAA